UGUGCCAUACGAGUGGAUCCUGGAGAAUGUCGUAGAAGAACCGAUGACAAUUACAUCAAAAAUGAUUUCGUUUGGAGGUGAAAAAGUAUUCCGUGUUGGGUUGAAGAACUACGCCGAAUAUGCCAUUUUGUUUUUCGUGGAAAUUUAUCUCGUAAAAAUCGGAAUGGAAGUGGAAGACGUCAAAUACGGAAUUCAAGGAACUUCAGAAUUCUAUUGUUAUCGACUGUGUGAUCGACUUGCCAAGUCGCAAUUGUGGGCUGCUUUAGAAAAUCAACAGAAUCUGGCGGACGUUGAAUUUGUCGUGAAA
This is a long non-coding RNA of Daphnia pulicaria, 307 nucleotides long. RefSeq lists it as uncharacterized. Lineage: Eukaryota; Metazoa; Arthropoda; Branchiopoda; Diplostraca; Daphniidae. The record is from RefSeq and is a predicted model, not a curated record. The transcript has 2 exons.